This 453-nucleotide long non-coding RNA is filed under the name Carica papaya (papaya). Its description in RNAcentral is "long non-coding RNA (CPAP_LNC011742)". Lineage: Eukaryota; Viridiplantae; Streptophyta; Magnoliopsida; Brassicales; Caricaceae. The record is from RNAcentral.
GUCUAAAAGUAUGAUAGUAUCUGAUUUAUUAAUUUUAUGGUUUGAAUGCAUGUAUUGCUACCUUACGUGACCAUCGUUUAGUUGAAAAAUUGAGAUAUGAUUGUAUUCUCUGAUGCAUGUUUAUUUGCUUAUGUGAUUAUGGUUGAUUUAGAAAAUGAAGACUAACAGAAAACGAAAAAGUUGUAUGGAAAAGUGAAUAGAUGAAGACGACAGCCUUACUAAUAUCCUAAGAGAUGGUGGACGGACCGUGUACAUAGAAAAUCCUAUCGUGAACAUUGUCUCAUAUCGAAUGGGGUAUGUAGACUUGAUAAUUUGGCAGAUGGCUCGCUUUAUUCUCAUACCGGAUGAGAUAUUGAGAUUUGAUAGUUUGAUGCUCAUACCAGAUAGGGUAUGAGGACGGUCCGUAAUUGAGAUUGUUAAAGAAAAUGGUUCGCGUGUAGUGAGGACAUCCCU